GACGAACGCUGGCGGCGUGCUUAACACAUGCAAGUCGAACGGAAAGGCCCUGCUUUUGUGGGGUGCUCGAGUGGCGAACGGGUGAGUAACACGUGAGUAACCUUCCCUUGACUUUGGGAUAACUUCAGGAAACUGGGGCUAAUACCGGAUAGGAGCUCCUGCUGCAUGGUGGGGGUUGGAAAUUUUCGGCGGUUGGGGAUGGACUCGCGGCUUAUCAGCUUGUUGGUGGGGUAGUGGCUUACCAAGGCUUUGACGGGUAGCCGGCCUGAGAGGGUGACCGGCAACAUUGGGACUGAGAUACGGCCAAGACUCCUACGGGAGGCAGCAGUGGGGAAUAUUGCACAAUGGGCGGAAGCCUGAUGCAGCAACGCCGCGUGCGGGAUGACGGCCUUCGGGUUGUAAACCGCUUUCGCCUGUGACGAAGCGUGAGUGACGGUAAUGGGUAAAGAAGCACCGGCUAACUACGUG
This 468-nucleotide ribosomal RNA is filed under the name uncultured bacterium. Its description in RNAcentral is "partial 16S ribosomal RNA". It matches the Rfam family "Bacterial small subunit ribosomal RNA", at positions 28 to 507 of the family's 1533-position model. The record is from RNAcentral.